Clarias gariepinus (North African catfish) is the source of this 456-nucleotide long non-coding RNA. RefSeq lists it as uncharacterized. Lineage: Eukaryota; Metazoa; Chordata; Actinopteri; Siluriformes; Clariidae. The transcript has 3 exons. The record is from RefSeq and is a predicted model, not a curated record.
GUAAAUGCAGUGCCGCUACUGUAAAUUUUCUGCACAGCAGCAAGACGUGCUGCUCAAGCAUUACAGGCUUCAUCACUGGAAAGCCGGUAAAGGGCUUUAAAGUUGUUGCUGGAUCGACCUGACGUACUUGAGAAGACGUUUCCUAUCAAGGAGAGGACACCAGGAUAUUACACCUCACCAUUUGAUGGAAACAAUGUUGCUUCGAGUUAUUCUCUCACCUGACAACAUCAGGAAGCUAACUAUACCCACACCAUCGUCUACUGAUGAGCUCGCUGCCGUUCUUUGUGAAAAAUUGCAGAUUCAGAGAGGUUUCGUGAUCCAAUAUGAGGAUCCUGAUUUCAACAAUGAACUUUGUACUUUACAUGACAUCACAGAACUUCCAAAAGACAAGGCUACUUUGAAGCUCCACUGGGAACUAGUUUUAAGUUCAAUGGCAGAGGAUGGUCACCUAUCUGA